Heterocephalus glaber (naked mole-rat) is the source of this 98-nucleotide small nuclear RNA. The record is from Ensembl. NCBI's taxonomy places the organism in Eukaryota, Metazoa, Chordata, Mammalia, Rodentia, Bathyergidae.
GUGUUCGCAGCACAUAUACUAAAAUUGGAAUGAUACAGUGAUUAGUAUGGCCCUUGCGCAAGGAUGACAUGAAAAUUCCUGAAGCAUUCCAUAUAGGG